RNAcentral lists this long non-coding RNA (573 nucleotides) under Coffea arabica (coffee). Its description in RNAcentral is "long non-coding RNA (CARA_LNC005181)". Lineage: Eukaryota; Viridiplantae; Streptophyta; Magnoliopsida; Gentianales; Rubiaceae. The record is from RNAcentral.
CCACCCCCUUCCUUCUCCUCGCUCUCUUCUUUCUUCCUUCUCUCUUUCUUUUCUCCCCUCCCCCCUUUCCCCACCAUGCCUGCCCCCUCCCCUUCCCCCCUCCAAUAUGGCCGAGAUCAAAUCGAGAUCUCUGGUCACGACAUCGCUGCUAGAUCGCAACCUCUGGUUUAUGAGGAGAAAGAGGAGUGGGGUGGGGUGUGGCGAGAAAUAGGAGAGGAAGGGGAAGAGAGGAGGAGGAGGAGGAAGAGGGAGGGAGAUGAAAGAGAAGGAAAGAGGAUGAAGAGAGCGGGAGGAAGAGGAAAAAGAAGGAAAGAUGAGGAGGAAGAGAGAGGAGGAGGAAGAGAGAGGAGGAGGAGAUGGUGACGAUAGUGGGUUGGGAGGGUGGUGGUAGGUGAUGGUGAUAGAUGAAAGAAGAUAAUAAAGUAGAUUCUAUUUUUUAUUUUUUUUGGUAUAUUUAUAGUUGUUUUUGAUAUAUUGUAUGGACAUAUGUUUUUGGAAUUGUUUUUAUUUGUGUAUUAUUGUAGUAUUAUAUAUAAAAAACUUGUUUUUUAAAAAAUGAGGAAUCCAAACGGA